AACGCGAAGAACCUUACCGGGGCUUGACAUCGGAGGAACAUCUAAGAAAUUAGGUUUCGGAGCAAUCCGACUUCCAGACAGGUGCUGCAUGGCUGUCGUCAGCUCGUGCCGUGAGGUGUUGGGUUAAGUCCCGCAACGAGCGCAACCCUCGUCGUGUGUUGGUCCGCAAGGAUCUCUCACGCGAGACCGCCGGUGAGAAGCCGGAGGAAGGUGGGGAUGACGUCAAGUCAGCAUGGCCCUUACGUCCCGGGCUACACACGUGCUACAAUGGGUAGGACAACGAGUCGCUAGCUAGUGAUAGUCUGCUAAUCUCUUAAACCUAUCCUCAGUUCGGAUUGAAGGCUGCAACUCGCCUUCAUGAAGUCGGAAUCGCUAGUAAACGCGGAUCAGCUACGCCGCGUUGAAUACGUUCCCGGGCCUUGUA
Molecule: ribosomal RNA, 424 nt
Filed under: uncultured bacterium
Lineage: Bacteria
Description: bacterial SSU rRNA
Rfam family: Bacterial small subunit ribosomal RNA
Source: RNAcentral